AUAAUUUUACAUUCCUACCAAGUGAAUUACUAAAUCUGUUCUUCCUAUUACCUCAACCCUGAUACCUAAUCCGACAAAAAGAGAGAUCGAAAAGAGAUGGGCCGGCGCUAUUGAUUGACGUACAUUCCAUCCAACCUACAGCGGUAAAAGAGGGCGCUUGCGUAAGUCGUUAUCCAGUGAGAACUCAGCGGCAGAGGCGGAGGCGGGCCUUGUGGAAACUGCUGCAGCAGGGUUGGCGGAUUUGGGAAGGAGUGAAGAUGGCGGAGUGAGGCGCAUCGCGGCCAGCCGGCCUUUGGGCCGGGGGCGUGAAGGCCCCCGGACGGUCGAGUGCUUCUACUGGCUGGUGAGAGGUAUUGUGUGUUUCUCCUGGAGUGGAAUCACUCCUUCAGAAAUAACCAGUACAACUAUGCAAAGAUAUAUACAAGGACCCAAUACAAGAAAUGGUUAAAUUCUGAUAUAUACCUAUCAUUCAAUCAUGCAGGUAAGAAAUAAUUUACAUAUGGGCUGGUAUGGAAAGUUGAGAAAAGCAGGUUAUAGAAUAAUGUGAAAUGCCUUUAUGUCUAUGUGUAUUCACCCACAUGCAUAAAGAUUAUUUAUUUUGAACACUUAGUAUGUGCUAAGCACUGCUGUAAUUACAGUAGGUGUACUCAUUAAUUCACUUCAUCCUCACUACAACCAUAGUGUUUGUUUUUUUUUUUAACUUAUUUAGAGAGGAGAUCACAAGGGGGGGGUGCAGAGAAAGAAUCCCAAGCAGGCUCCACACUGUUAGUGCAGAGCCUGACACAGGGCUUGAACCCACAAACAGAUCAUGACCUGAGCCAAAAUGAGUAGGAUGCUUAAGCAGCUGAGCUACUCAGGUGCCCUCAGUCCUAGUAUUUUUUGU
RNAcentral lists this long non-coding RNA (883 nucleotides) under Suricata suricatta (meerkat). Its description in RNAcentral is "lncRNA (ENSSSUG00005009085.1)". Lineage: Eukaryota; Metazoa; Chordata; Mammalia; Carnivora; Herpestidae. The record is from RNAcentral.